CCUACGGGAGGCAGCAGUGGGGAAUUUUCCGCAAUGGGCGAAAGCCUGACGGAGCAAUACCGCGUGAGGGAUGACGGCCUAUGGGUUGUAAACCUCUUUUUUCAGGGAGGAAUCAAUGACGUGUACCUGAAGAAUAAGCAUCGGCUAACUCCGUGCCAGCAGCCGCGG
RNAcentral lists this ribosomal RNA (168 nucleotides) under uncultured Amphora sp. RNAcentral's name for it is "partial 16S ribosomal RNA". It matches the Rfam family "Bacterial small subunit ribosomal RNA", at positions 338 to 520 of the family's 1533-position model. The record is from RNAcentral. Lineage: Eukaryota; Bacillariophyta; Bacillariophyceae; Surirellales; Surirellaceae.